This 638-nucleotide long non-coding RNA is filed under the name Cricetulus griseus (Chinese hamster). RNAcentral's name for it is "lncRNA (ENSCGRG00000025175.1)". The record is from RNAcentral. Lineage: Eukaryota; Metazoa; Chordata; Mammalia; Rodentia; Cricetidae.
CUCUUUAGAACUGAGUAUGUUUGUUCUUAUGCUACCAUCUCACCAGCAAGUUCUGGACAGGAGACAAACAAUGUAGGUUGUUUCCAAUGGGAUGCUCUUCAGACAAAUCUGAACAGCACAGUGAAACACAGAUAACAAGUUCCUGACGACCAGUCGUACUCACAGGAGGACCAAGCUUAGAAACCACCCUAAGUCACAGGUUAUUCGAUGCCAGGAAACAGCUCUAGAUGCAUCAUAUUUUCCACCCAUUCAUCAAUUUCAACCCAAAGAAGUAUCCUGUGUGCAGACACAGAAAGGAAAGGUCUUUUGCCUUCUCUUACAAAAGAAGCCAGUGUUUAGACUUGGAGUCUAUUCUAGACCAAUGAAAGGACAAGAAGCAGUGUGCUCGCCAUUAGACACCAUGAAGGCCUGGCUAGAGACACAACUUAAUCAGUGUCAAUAAAAGGGGCAUUGUCACGUCUGCUAUAUGUGGUAUGGUCUAGAAAGUAUUUCUUAAAAAGUAUUUCUCAGAAAGGAAGUCCCUAGCGAUACCCAAGAGAAAACAUUCUGAAGUUUGAAAAGGCUGCCAGAUGUUUCUCCCCUGUUGCAGGACCACAAUGCAUGGCAGAUGAUACACAACAUGAAGUUGGCACCAGCAG